RNAcentral lists this long non-coding RNA (401 nucleotides) under Helianthus annuus (common sunflower). RNAcentral's name for it is "sRNA HanXRQr2_Chr04g0169311". Lineage: Eukaryota; Viridiplantae; Streptophyta; Magnoliopsida; Asterales; Asteraceae. The record is from RNAcentral.
UUUUGUAGCUGGAAAUAGGGGAUUCUUCCUCUACCGGCCAUUUCUACAGCCCCAUUUUUCUAUCUUCUUCUUAUUUGCAGGUCUAGGAUUCGGGCGAAGAAGACGAGAUGUGGCCAUAUCCGUAUCCAUCACCGUAGAAGUACCGACCCACUCAGGUUACUCUUUUACAUUGGCGCCAUCCGUGGGACAAGACACGAACCACGUCUCGCUAUUCUUUCCUACCCAGAUUUCUAGAUCUGUGUUUUUUUUCAUCGGUUACGAGAGGCGGAAAUCUGUUGCCGUGCAACACCUUCUCAAAUAAUAAUUUUGAGAUUCAUGUUCGCUGAAUAAGGUCACCAAAGCCAUGCGUUUUGACCCAAGCAUCUCGGUUUACGGGCCGAACGGUACCCAAGUAUACAAUU